AAUGCUCAGUUUUAAAAUGCAGCAAAAUCUUAAAACGCAAUCCAUCAUCUGGAGCUAAAUUUAUGCCUUUGUGCUCCCUUAACAGUUUUAGAAUUCAGAUGCCAAGCAGAGAUCUUUACCAAUUAGGGUAACAAGCUGAUCAGCCAGGAGGUUAUUUGGGAACUCCACGGAGAAGCCCAUGAGGUUUUUUUGUGAUUCAUGAUGAUGACAGAGAAGCGCAGGUUCCACUUUAGUUUUUUACUUUCUGCCCAGUGCCAUCUUUCCUCAGCUGACUCAUUUUGCACCUUUCCUUGUCCCAGUUGCUGUCUUCUCUCUCUGCAGACCUUUGGUCCUCAUUGAAGGUUUCCAUUCCUUUGCUCUGCAAUUUGAGCUGCUCCCCCUCAUCCCUUUGCUUCCUCAUCCUCUCCCAAGCUCCUUUCCCAUGUCAGCUGGAGUUCUCCUCCUCCUCCCCCUCGCUGAAGCACCAGGAUGGGAGCAACCAGAGUGCACCAGAAAUCACUUCCACCUCCUCUGCUCGGUGCUGCAGCAUCCUCAGCUUGUUGGAAGAUGUCAGGGCAGGGAUGUCCUGCUCACCCCCAUCAGCUGUGACUGUCUGAAAUCUGUUUCAGAGCCAGAAAUACAGAUUGAAUCUCAGGACUUCUACACCUUUGGUUCAGCAGCAAGACCAUCUGUCACUUCUAAUUCCUGCUAUGAAAAAGAUGAUCUAGUUAUCUUUGAUGGAAUAGUUCUGAAUUUGCAAGCUAGAGUCUUCUCCUUUUCCUCAAUUAGAUUUUCCUCCCCUCCUACAUGCUGGAAUCUCUAUUUGAAGGUUCAGCCUUGGAUAAAGCUAAACCCCAAAAGAAUGAUGUCUUUUUAAUCACUGGCUCCCCACUGCAGAUGAUAUCAACCUGCAAAACAUGCUAGCUGCUCUCACCAAAGCAAUCUUGACUUGCUUCCAAAGGGGAGAGAAAACAGGUGAAUUCCUUGUCACUUUAGAUUGCACUAAGGAUGUGCAGAAAUUUUGCUCCAUUUUAAGUUUGAUAUAUGUUUUGGAAGGUAGAGGGUUUAUAAGGAAGGGCUGGAUAUUUUUUCAGGCAUGUCUACAUCUUCACCAUCUGCAUAUCAUUCCAAGGUUACUUUUAAAUCUUCUAGAUUUUCACUCAGCUUUGUUUGACUCUCAAAGACAAAGCACUCUUUCUCAUAGGACCAUUAAAUCAUAACACGAUUCUCUUCCACAAUGAAGAAAAAAUCCAUUUUUUUUUCUUUGGAGGAAACCAUCAUCAUCUUCAUCUGUAUAAAGAGAUGCUUCCUGAGUCAUAAUGCAUUCAGUCUUUCACACAUGUGUUUUCUUGGUGCAAACUACAGAUAAAAAGCACAUGAUAUAAUUAAAUGCUUUUGUACUGUAGGUGAGGGAUUGUCUCAGGCUGUUCCAUCCAGCUAUUGUUUUUUCCCACCCAUAUACACAUAAACACAUUCUUGAAGCUCAAACUCAGCUGUGUUUCUAUAGGCAUGUCUCAGGGCAUGUCUCUGCUGUUAAAUUUUAAUGAAAAUAAGAUUGAAAUUUUAGGGAUUAAUGACCACUUGGCAAAAAUUCAGCUGAUAUCUACUUGAGCUGCACCACUUCUUCCAACCUCCCUUCUCCAAUGAAUAACUGAAAAGGACCGAGGAACAGAGAGCUGUUUCUAGGAUACAAUGUGCAGCACUUCCUACUUUUGGCUCACUCUAACUUCAGCCUCUCAGCUCUGUCAUUUUUUUUCUGUCUAUGAAUUUAAAAUAGCUUUUGCCACCAGAUAGUGAAGUGGAAGCAAUAGCAUUUGUCCCAGCUGUGAGUGGGAUCACCUUGCUACCGUGGUAAAAUCGAAGGGGCUGAUCUCCACAUGGAUUUUACAUUAAGCCAUCCAGACCAGACUUCAGCUGCUGAAUCUGCUUCAUUUCUGGGUGUGAAAACAUGUGCAGAUUAAAUCCAAAGCUCUUCAGGAGAAAGCUGAAAUGUCCUGAGUCAUCCAGUGAGAGUUAACAGUAGUCUCUUUUCAGAGACAUAUUACCUCUGGCUCUGAGCUUCAAAACUACAGCUCCUUUCAACUACAAUGUCUCAGCUGAGAGGGUUCAGAGCUGUGAUCUUGUCAAUAGAGGACAGGAUGGAAGAAAUUGCCCUUUGGCAGAGUUGGGCAAAUCCUGGAAAAUGGACUUCUUCCUAUUCUGUGGAAAGAGCAUUUUUAAGGGAUUAAAUAUUCUUCAUUUUCCACUUGGCAUAUGAAAUUUGAACCCGCAAGAUUUGUAUUUUUCUUCAUACUCAUGCAUGGGAGGGCCAUGCUCUGUGUA
This is a long non-coding RNA of Zonotrichia albicollis (white-throated sparrow), 2301 nucleotides long. RefSeq lists it as uncharacterized. The record is from RefSeq and is a predicted model, not a curated record. NCBI's taxonomy places the organism in Eukaryota, Metazoa, Chordata, Aves, Passeriformes, Passerellidae.